AUGCAAGUCGAACGGCAGCGCGGGGCAACCUGGCGGCGAGUGGCGAACGGGUGAGUAAUAUAUCGGAACGUACCCWRGAGUGGGGGAUAACGUAGCGAAAGUUACGCUAAUACCGCAUACGAUCUAAGGAUGAAAGYRGGGGAUCGCAAGRCCUYRUGCUCCUGGAGCGGCCGAUAUCUGAUUAGCUAGUUGGUAGGGUAAAGGCCUACCAAGGCWWCGAUCAGUAGCUGGUCUGAGAGGACGACCAGCCACACUGGAACUGAGACACGGUCCAGACUCCUACGGGAGGCAGCAGUGGGGAAUUUUGGACAAUGGGCGCAAGCCUGAUCCAGCAAUGCCGCGUGAGUGAAGAAGGCCUUCGGGUUGUAAAGCUCUUUUGUCAGGGAAGAAACGGUGDGGGCUAAUAUCCUSYRCUAAUGACGGUACCUGAAGAAUAAGCACCGGCUAACUACGUGCCAGCAGCCGCGGUAAUACGUAGGGUGCAAGCGUUAAUCGGAAUUACUGGGCGUAAAGCGUGCGCAGGCGGUUUUGUAAGUCUGUCGUGAAAKCCCCGGGCUCAACCUGGGAAUKGCGAUGRAGACUGCAAGGCUUGAAUCUGGCAGAGGGGGGUAGAAUUCCACGUGUAGCAGUGAAAUGCGUAGAGAUGUGGAGGAACACCGAUGGCGAAGGCA
RNAcentral lists this ribosomal RNA (671 nucleotides) under uncultured bacterium. RNAcentral describes it as "partial 16S ribosomal RNA". It matches the Rfam family "Bacterial small subunit ribosomal RNA", at positions 55 to 723 of the family's 1533-position model. The record is from RNAcentral.